RNAcentral lists this long non-coding RNA (1122 nucleotides) under Pan troglodytes (chimpanzee). Its description in RNAcentral is "long non-coding RNA NONPTRT006714". The record is from RNAcentral. Lineage: Eukaryota; Metazoa; Chordata; Mammalia; Primates; Hominidae.
CAGAGGGGUCUGAGUGGGAAGAGACAGAGGUGGUGGGAGCAGUGGGCUCUGCCUGUCCCCACCCCCACCUGGGGCCUCAUACCAUCCCACUAUCAUGGGUAGUGCCUACCACUGGGAGGCCCGGCGCCGGCAGAUGGCUUUGGACCGAAGGAGAUGGCUGAUGGCCCAGCAGCAGCAGGAGCUGCAGCAGAAAGAACAGGAACUGAAGAAUCACCAGGAGGAAGAACAACAAUCGGAGGAAAAACUCCAGCCACCUAAGAAGUUAAAUGUGCCGCAACCACCAGUGGUGAAAUUGUGGACAUCACAGGAGCAACCACAGCCAUCACAGCAGCAGCCAUCAGUGCAGCCACCAUCGCAACCACCACCACAGCCAUCAACAUUGCCACAGGCACAGGUGUGGCCAGGGCCACAGCCACCACCUCAGCCAACACAACCAAGUGCUCAAGCCCGUUGUACUCAGCACACCUCCAAAUGCAAUCUCCAGGAUUCCCAAAGGCCAGGUCACCAGCCUACUUCAGCGGGGAUCUACUAAGCUGGAGGGCAAUCUCUGUAUCAACAACAGAUUCCAGGGUCUCAUGAACCCAUGCCAAUCUAGCCCCAUCAGAAACACUGGGUAUUCACAACUCAAGUCUACCAAUUACAUACAGCAGUGGUGAUCCAGAGAUCGAACCCAGGACCCCAUGGCCAUCCCCAAAAUGCAGAUGAGCAACCACAUCUUCUCAGCAUCCAGCAAUAUCUCCACUCCAAAAGCCACCCACUCUAGAAGAGGAGGCUGCCAGGAAUAAAAUGUAAUUUUUUUCCUGGGAGGAAUCACGGGACCGGACAGCUUUAUGAGACAGGGAUGAGAGGAAGAGGGCAGGACGGCUCACGAAGGGGAUGGAGAGGGUGGAAAGAGAGUGGAAGGCAAGUUUAUGCUUCUCUAGGCAAAGCCAAUGGGAGAACUGGGUCUUGGGUCCCCCCCAAGUAUGCAACUCCUACUACUAUCACUACCUGCCCUCAUUCAGCAGUGAUAAGUCUGUGGGGGGCUUCAGUUUAUGACUGUCACUGGAGCCAUCACCCAUUCCCCCAAGCCCAUGCUUACUGAGAUAUAGCCUGGGGAAGGAGGGGUCGCAUCACAUCAGA